This is a long non-coding RNA of Rhineura floridana, 952 nucleotides long. RefSeq lists it as uncharacterized. The record is from RefSeq and is a predicted model, not a curated record. The transcript has 4 exons. Lineage: Eukaryota; Metazoa; Chordata; Lepidosauria; Squamata; Rhineuridae.
UUGUACGGCCUUAAGUGUGCUAUGAAUCUGACUCCCAAUUGUCCCCCCUUUUGCUUGCAUCCCCAGACACGGCAAAUUCAAAGCUCUCCGAUUCUGCAGAACUGACUUUCCAGAUGAGAAGGCCAGCAGGAGAGAGGGAGGCUUCUGGAGGGCCACCUUCUAAGUUCCAUACUCUGGGAUUGAGAAUAAGCAAUGAAGAGUGGAAUAUUAAUACUACAAAUAAAUGAGCUAUGGGGGUGCCACAGCAUCUGAUUCUCCUGAUGCACAACCUAUACUCUGGAGAAGAGGCUACUGUAAGGACAAAAUAUGAAGAAACUGAUUGGUUCCCAGUCAGAAAGGGUGUGAGUCAGGGGUGUAUUUUAUCAUCCUAUUUGUUUAAUCUAUAUGCAGAAUAUAUCAUAAGCAAAGCAGGAUUGGACCAAGGUGAAGGAAGUGUGAAAAUUGGAGGGAGAAAUAUCAAUAAUUUAAGAUAUGCAGACAAUACCAUACUACUAGCAGAAACCAGUAAUGAUUUGAAACAAAUGCUGAUGAAAGUUAAAGAGGAAAGCAGAAAAGCUUAUGUAACUACAGCAGAAUAUCAGGAAGACUAAAGUAAUGACAAGAGAAGAUUUAUGUAACCUUAAAGUUGACAACGAGGACAUUGAACUUGUCAAGGAUUAUCCAUACCUCGGCACAGUCAUUAACCAAAAUGGAGACAAUAAACAAGAAAUCAGAAGAAGGCUAGGACUGGGGAGGGCAGCUAUGAGAGAACUAGAAAAGGUCCUCAAAUGCAAAGAUGUAUCACUGAACACUAAAAUCAGGAUCGUUCAGACUAUGGUAUUCCUGAUCUCUAUGUAUGGAUGUGAAAGAUGGACAGUGAAAAAAGGAGAUAAGAGAAAAAUCAACUCAUUUGAAAUGUGGUGUUGGAGGAGAGCUUUAUGCAUACCAUGGACUGUGAAAAAAACCAAUCAUU